This is a long non-coding RNA of Thalassophryne amazonica, 243 nucleotides long. RefSeq lists it as uncharacterized. NCBI's taxonomy places the organism in Eukaryota, Metazoa, Chordata, Actinopteri, Batrachoidiformes, Batrachoididae. The transcript is spliced from 3 exons. The record is from RefSeq and is a predicted model, not a curated record.
UCUUCUUUAAAUCCACUCGUUUCUUCUUGCUGCUCUGCGAUCUGUUUGUUUUUACCAACUCAUAUAUCUCGACAUUAGCAGCAGUUAGCCGCUGUUUCAACAACUUUCUCAGCUGUUCCACCUUUUCCUGCUAACUUCGUCUUUUCUUCUUAUUCCGGUUUACUGUCGACCUUUGUGCUUCUGGAGCUCUUCAAAAAACAUAUUCGAGGAUCACAGAGUGAAUUUGAUGAGUUCAGACAAAAG